UACGGAGAGUGCAAACGUUGUUCGGAAUCAUUGGGCGUAAAGGGCGCGUAGGCGGUUGGACAGGUCGGAUGUGAAAUCCCCGGGCUUAACCUGGGAACUGCGUUCGAAACCGUUCAGCUGGAGUACCGGAGGGAGAGGUGGAAUUCCUGGUGUAGGGGUGAAAUCCGUAGAGAUCAGGAGGAACACCGGUGGCGAAGGCGACCUCUUGGCCGGCUACUGACGCUGAGGCGCGAAGGCGUGGGGAGCAAACAGG
This 253-nucleotide ribosomal RNA is filed under the name uncultured bacterium. RNAcentral describes it as "partial 16S ribosomal RNA". It matches the Rfam family "Bacterial small subunit ribosomal RNA", at positions 524 to 776 of the family's 1533-position model. The record is from RNAcentral.